UACGAAGGGGGCUAGCGUUGUUCGGAAUUACUGGGCGUAAAGCGCACGUAGGCGGAUUGUUUAGUCAGGGGUGAAAUCCCAGAGCUUAACUCUGGAACUGCCUUUGAUACUGGCAAUCUCGAGUUCGGAAGAGGUGAGUGGAAUUCCUAGUGUAGAGGUGAAAUUCGUAGAUAUUAGGAAGAACACCAGUGGCGAAGGCGGCUCACUGGUCCGACACUGACGCUGAGGUGCGAAAGCGUGGGGAGCAAACAGG
Molecule: ribosomal RNA, 253 nt
Filed under: uncultured bacterium
Lineage: Bacteria
Description: partial 16S ribosomal RNA
Rfam family: Bacterial small subunit ribosomal RNA
Source: RNAcentral